RNAcentral lists this ribosomal RNA (524 nucleotides) under Lachnum virgineum. Its description in RNAcentral is "eukaryotic LSU rRNA". It matches the Rfam family "Eukaryotic large subunit ribosomal RNA", at positions 81 to 607 of the family's 3401-position model. The record is from RNAcentral. Lineage: Eukaryota; Fungi; Ascomycota; Leotiomycetes; Helotiales; Lachnaceae.
CAGUAACGGCGAGUGAAGCGGUAACAGCUCAAAUUUGAAAUCUGGCUCUUUCAGGGUCCGAGUUGUAAUUUGUAGAAGAUGCUUUGGGUGUGGCCCUGGUCUAAGUUCCUUGGAACAGGACGUCAUAGAGGGUGAGAAUCCCGUAUGUGACUAGGUGCUUUCGCCCGUGUAAAGCUCUUUCGACGAGUCGAGUUGUUUGGGAAUGCAGCUCAAAAUGGGUGGUAAAUUUCAUCUAAAGCUAAAUAUUGGCCAGAGACCGAUAGCGCACAAGUAGAGUGAUCGAAAGAUGAAAAGCACUUUGGAAAGAGAGUUAAACAGUACGUGAAAUUGUUGAAAGGGAAGCGCUUGCAACCAGACUUAGUUGCGGCCGAUCAUCUAGGGUUCUCCCUGGUGCACUCGGUCGUAUCUAGGCCAGCAUCGGUUUGGGUGGUGGGAUAAAGGCCUUGGGAAUGUAGCUUCUUUCGGGGAGUGUUAUAGCCCUCGGUGCAAUGCCGCCUACCUGGACCGAGGACCGCGCUUCGGCU